Molecule: ribosomal RNA, 253 nt
Filed under: uncultured bacterium
Lineage: Bacteria
Description: partial 16S ribosomal RNA
Rfam family: Bacterial small subunit ribosomal RNA
Source: RNAcentral
UACGGGGGGGGCAAGCGUUGUUCGGAAUUACUGGGCGUAAAGGGCUCGUAGGCGGCCAACUAAGUCAGACGUGAAAUCCCUCGGCUUAACCGGGGAACUGCGUCUGAUACUGGAUGGCUUGAGUUUGGGAGAGGGAUGCGGAAUUCCAGGUGUAGCGGUGAAAUGCGUAGAUAUCUGGAGGAACACCGGUGGCGAAGGCGGCAUCCUGGACCGAGAUUGACGCUGAACGGCGAAAGCUAGGGGAGCAAACGGG